AGUGAACGCUGGCGGUAGGCCUAACACAUGCAAGUCGAACGGCAGCACAGUAAGAGCUUGCUCUUACGGGUGGCGAGUGGCGGACGGGUGAGGAAUACAUCGGAAUCUACUUUUUCGUGGGGGAUAACGUAGGGAAACUUACGCUAAUACCGCAUACGACCUACGGGUGAAAGCAGGGGAUCUUCGGACCUUGCGCGAUUGAAUGAGCCGAUGUCGGAUUAGCUAGUUGGCGGGGUAAAGGCCCACCAAGGCGACGAUCCGUAGCUGGUCUGAGAGGAUGAUCAGCCACACUGGAACUGAGACACGGUCCAGACUCCUACGGGAAGCAGCAGUGGGGAAUAUUGGACAAUGGGGGCAAGCCUGAUCCAGCCAUACCGCGUGAGUGAAGAAGGCCUUCGGGUUGUAAAGCCCUUUUGUUGGGAAAGAAAAGCAGCAGGUUAAUACCCCGCUGUUCUGACGGUACCCAAAGAAUAAGCACCGGCUAACUUCGUG
Molecule: ribosomal RNA, 492 nt
Filed under: uncultured bacterium
Lineage: Bacteria
Description: partial 16S ribosomal RNA
Rfam family: Bacterial small subunit ribosomal RNA
Source: RNAcentral